This 228-nucleotide ribosomal RNA is filed under the name Triticum aestivum (bread wheat). RNAcentral describes it as "partial small subunit ribosomal RNA". The record is from RNAcentral. Lineage: Eukaryota; Viridiplantae; Streptophyta; Magnoliopsida; Poales; Poaceae.
CCCAUUGGUAGAAAAAAACCCACAACCCCUUGGGGUUAUCCUGCGCUUGGAAGAAGAACUAGGAAAAGGAAAAAAUAUAGCGAUAGUUUUAUUCUUCGUCGCCGGAUCCCCCUGAAAACCGUAUGUGCGGGUCUCCCCGCAUGCGGCUCACGCCAUUUGAGGUGGCCCAGCCCAGCAUUCAUUCGCUUUAUUGCGAGGGGCUUUGAAAAGCGAAAGGAUGAAGACUGA